GAUUGAAUGGGCUUAGUGAGGUCUUCGGAUUGGCUUUGGGGAGCCGGCGACGGCACCCUAUCGCUGAGAAGUCGAUCAAACUUGGUCAUUUAGAGGAAGUAAAAGUCGUAACAAGGUUUCCGUAGGUGAACCUGCGGAAGGAUCAUUAUUGAAAUUAUAGGUGAGGGUUGUAGCUGGCCUCUCGGGGCAUGUGCACGCCCGAGCCCUUAAUCCACACACACCUGUGAACCUAUUGUAAGGGCCCUUAAAAAAGGCCUUUACGUCUUAUCAUCAACCCAUCGUAUGUCUCAUAGAAUGUAAAUAUAUGUCCUCGCCUUAAAAAGCGUUGAUAAACUUAUACAACUUUCAACAACGGAUCUCUUGGCUCUCGCAUCGAUGAAGAACGCAGCGAAAUGCGAUAAGUAAUGUGAAUUGCAGAUUUUCAGUGAAUCAUCGAAUCUUUGAACGCACCUUGCGCUCCUUGGUAUUCCGAGGAGCAUGCCUGUUUGAGUGUCAUUAAAUUCUCAACUCCGAUCGAUUUGUUUCGACUUCGGAGCUUGGAUUUGGAGCGUGCUGGCGUCGGUCGGCUCCUCUUAAAUGCAUCAGCGGAAUCUAACGUUUCGGANGUCAGUGUGAUAAUCAUGUUGCGCUGUCUGUCUGAUCCGAAAGCCCGCUCACAAUGGUCUUCGGACAACUUCAUAUCAAAUUUGACCUCAAAUCAGGUAGGACUACCCGCUGAACUUAAGCAUAUCAAUAAGCGGAGGAAAAGAAACUAACAAGGAUUCCCCUAGUAACUGCGAGUGAAGCGGGAAAAGCUCAAAUUUAAAAUCUGGCGGUCUUGCGGCCGUCCGAGUUGUAAUCUGGAGAAGCGUUUAUCCGCGUCGGANCGUGUACAAGUCUUCUGGAAGGGAGCGUCGUAGAGGGUGAGAAUCCCGUCUUUGACACGGAC
RNAcentral lists this ribosomal RNA (928 nucleotides) under Piloderma olivaceum. Its description in RNAcentral is "eukaryotic LSU rRNA". The stretch from base 688 to 928 matches the Rfam family "Eukaryotic large subunit ribosomal RNA", at positions 1 to 235 of the family's 3401-position model. The record is from RNAcentral. Lineage: Eukaryota; Fungi; Basidiomycota; Agaricomycetes; Atheliales; Atheliaceae.